GGGCCUGUAGCUCAAUUGGCUAGAGCGUUGCUAUGGCAUAGCAAAGGUUGUCGGUUCAAUCCCGAUCAGGUCCA
RNAcentral lists this transfer RNA (74 nucleotides) under Candidatus Dojkabacteria bacterium. RNAcentral's name for it is "tRNA-Ala". It matches the Rfam family "tRNA". From Rfam's summary of the family: Transfer RNA (tRNA) molecules are approximately 80 nucleotides in length. Their secondary structure includes four short double-helical elements and three loops (D, anti-codon, and T loops). Further hydrogen bonds mediate the characteristic L-shaped molecular structure. tRNAs have two regions of fundamental functional importance: the anti-codon, which is responsible for specific mRNA codon recognition, and the 3' end, to which the tRNAs corresponding amino acid is attached (by aminoacyl-tRNA synthetases). tRNAs cope with the degeneracy of the genetic code in two manners: having more than one tRNA (with a specific anti-codon) for a particular amino acid; and 'wobble' base-pairing, i.e. permitting non-standard base-pairing at the 3rd anti-codon position. The record is from RNAcentral.